GUCUAUGGCCAUACUACCCUGAAUACAACCUACCUUGUCUGAUCUUACAAGCUAAGUAGGGUUGGGCCUUGGUUAGUACUUGGAUGGGAGACCACCCAGAAAUAUUGGAUGCUACAGUCU
RNAcentral lists this ribosomal RNA (120 nucleotides) under Nannospalax galili (Upper Galilee mountains blind mole rat). The record is from RNAcentral. Lineage: Eukaryota; Metazoa; Chordata; Mammalia; Rodentia; Spalacidae.